This 468-nucleotide ribosomal RNA is filed under the name uncultured bacterium. RNAcentral's name for it is "partial 16S ribosomal RNA". It matches the Rfam family "Bacterial small subunit ribosomal RNA", at positions 28 to 507 of the family's 1533-position model. The record is from RNAcentral.
GACGAACGCUGGCGGCGUGCUUAACACAUGCAAGUCGAACGGAAAGGCCCUGCUUUUGUGGGGUGCUCGAGUGGCGAACGGGUGAGUAACACGUGAGUAACCUGCCCUUGACUUUGGGAUAACUUCAGGAAACUGGGGCUAAUACCGGAUAGGAGCUCCUGCUGCAUGGUGGGGGUUGGAAAGUUUCGGCGGUUGGGGAUGGACUCGCGGCUUAUCAGCUUGUUGGUGGGGUAGUGGCUUACCACGGCUUUGACGGGUAGCCGGCCUGUGAGGGUGACCGGCCACAUUGGGACUGAGAUACGGCCCAGACUCCUACGGGAGGCAGCAGUGGGGAAUAUUGCACAAUGGGCGGAAGCCUGGUGCAGCAACGCCGCGUGCGGGAUGACGGCCUUCGGGUUGUAAACCGCUUUCGCCUGUGACGAAGCGUGAGUGACGGUAAUGGGUAAAGAAGCACCGGCUAACUACGUG